RNAcentral lists this long non-coding RNA (2138 nucleotides) under Monomorium pharaonis (pharaoh ant). RNAcentral's name for it is "uncharacterized LOC118644699, transcript variant X1". Lineage: Eukaryota; Metazoa; Arthropoda; Insecta; Hymenoptera; Formicidae. The record is from RNAcentral.
AUUAAAAUCUCUCUAGGGAGUUUUACAGCAAGGCCAUUCGGCAGUAUUUUUUCUGCAAUAUUAAAGAAAACGAUUGACCACCAAACGUUUUCAUUAAUAUAUUUGUGACCACCAAACGAUUUUACAUCCAAUAAUGCCUUUGAAAGUAAAUUUGUACGAAAAAUAAUAUUUGCCUAGUGAGUUUACAAUGAUGCCAAUCGUUAACGGUUUUUUCGAAUUUUUAGGAAAACGGAUGACCACCAAACGAUUUCAUUAGUUUAUUCGUGUUUACCAAACGAUUUUACAUCUAUUGACGCCUUUGAAAGUGAAUUUGUAUGAUAAAUAAUAUGUAUCUGGGUAAUUUCCAGUGAUACCAAAACCAGUGAUACUCAAAAACGGUUUUUUCUAAUUUCUACAAAAACGGUUGACCACCAAACGUUUUCAUUAGCAUAUUCAUGACCACCAAACAAUUCCAAAUCAAAUGAACUACUUGAAAUUAAAAUUGGUGCAAAAAUAAACAAUGUCGGGCUAACUUCACACCCAAAUUUUAUUUUUGAUAUUACAGGAGAACGGCUAACCACCAAAUGAUGGGACUAAACUACCAAAGACCACCAAACGACCACCAAAGGAUACCAAUUGGUGAAAAUUGAUAAAGCUGAAGUUGGCUGGCUAACUUCACAGAGGUCACGACAUUAGUCCGAAAACUAGAUGGGGAAAAUGUUGGUACCAACAAAAUUCUCUAGACAUUUCAAUUUCAAUUUUUACAGGUUAGUAACAUUGUUUAAGUAGUAAAUCUACGAGUGUUCGGAGUUUCGGAGAGACGUUUUGACAUAUGCGCGCGCCAAAAUAAUAAAUAUUAAGUUAAAUUGUAACAUGUAAUUGAAAUUAAUGUUAAAAAAUUACAACUGAAUAUUAAGUACAUAGAGAUGAACAAGAAAAAAAAUGUUUUAUAUAUUUAUAUGUAAGAGAAGAAAUUUUAAUAAAAUAUAUUAAUAUAUUAAACUAUACUAAAUUAUAUUUUUAUUAUAUUAAAUUAAUUAGUAAUAAUAAUUUUCAAUUUCUUUGAUGUGCCUUGACAGACAAGAUUUAUGAUUAAAAUCUGGUUUUCCAUAUUAAAAUCAUUGUCAGCCGAGAAACAAAAUCUGUGCAAAAUAAAAUAAAAACAUAAAGAAGGAAAAGGGAAAGAAAUAAAUGGAGAAUAAAAAUAUAUAUCAGAUAAGUAGCUAAUAUCUUUAUAAAAAAUUAUGUAUUCUAUGUGCAUUUUGUAGAUGAACCGAUUCUUUUCUUGAAUUAAUUUUUUGUUUCAGCUUCUUAGCCAAUCGUAGAAUGUUGACAGCUGGACCACCAGAAAACAAUUUCUUGCCGAAUAAAGCUGUCAAAUUCUAAGCCUGCUACUUCUUCGAGUAUGUCAAAAUUGUGAGCAAAAAAGUUGAAAUUAUAUUGUAAUAUCAAUUAGAUUUAUCAACGGUGCAGUAACAGAUUGAUACAACAAACUGAGAGCAGCAAACAGAAAAUGUGCUACCCACAUUGACUUUUACAAGAAUGGGUUUAGAAGUAGCGAUGGAUGCUUGUCCAACAAUCGAGGAUCAUUUAAUAAGUGAAUACACUAUUUGAUGUAAAAUAAACCAAAAUUAUCUUUUUAAAAACGGUAAAAAAGAUGCCAAGUGUGUAUGCUCUAGAAAACACCUCUUAAAUCUAAGAUACUCUUUAUCUAAUUCAACCCAAGUAAUAUCACGAGCCUUCUUAUACCAACUAAAAUGUAACUUUAAUUAUUAAACUAAUAAUUAUUUUAAAUGAAUUAUACCCACAAACACACACACACACACACACAUAUUAACUACAAAAAUAAUGAUAUCAAAAUAUUUCUUUAACGAUAAUUUGUUUUACUCCAAAUAGUAUAUGUUUACUUACGAAAUGAUAUUUGAUGUUACAAUGUGAUUUCAACUUUUUUGCUUACAAUUUUGGCAUACUCGAGGAAGUAGCAGGUUUAGAAUUUGACAGCUUUACUCGGCAAGGAAUUGUUCUCUGAUGGUCCAGCUGUCAACAUUCUACAAUUAGCAAAGAAGCUAAAACAAAAAAUUAAUUCAAGAAAAGAAUCGAUUCAUCUACAAAAAGCACAUAUAGAAUACAUAAUUUCUUAUAAAGAUAUUAACUACUUA